This 364-nucleotide ribosomal RNA is filed under the name uncultured bacterium. RNAcentral's name for it is "bacterial SSU rRNA". It matches the Rfam family "Bacterial small subunit ribosomal RNA", at positions 28 to 392 of the family's 1533-position model. The record is from RNAcentral.
GACGAACGCUGGCGGCGUGCUUAACACAUGCAAGUCGAGCGGUAAGGCCCUUUCGGGGGUACACGAGCGGCGAACGGGUGAGUAACACGUGGGUGACCUGCCCUCAGCUCUGGGAUAAGCCUGGGAAACCGGGUCUAAUACCGGAUAUGACUCCAUGACGCAUGUUGUGGGGUGGAAAGCCUUGUGCGGCUGAGGAUGGGCCCGCGGCCUAUCAGCUUGUUGGUGGGGUGANGGCCUACCAAGGCGACGACGGGUAGCCGGCCUGAGAGGGCGACCGGCCACACUGGGACUGAGACACGGCCCAGACUCCUACGGGAGGCAGCAGUGGGGAAUCUUGGCGCAAUGGGCGAAAGCCUGACGCAGC